GUGGGGAAUAUUGGACAAUGGGCGAAAGCCUGAUCCAGCCAUGCCGCGUGUGUGAAGAAGGUCUUCGGAUUGUAAAGCACUUUAAGUUGGGAGGAAGGGCAGUAAGUUAAUACCUUGCUGUUUUGACGUUACCGACAGAAUAAGCACCGGCUAACUUCGUGCCAGCAGCCGCGGUAAUACGAAGGGUGCAAGCGUUAAUCGGAAUUACUGGGCGUAAAGCGCGCGUAGGUGGUUUUGUAAGUUGGAGGUGAAAUCCCCGGGCUCAACGUGGGAAAGGCCUCCAAAACUGCAUGACUAGAGUACGGUAGAGGGUAGUGGAAUUUCCUGUGUAGCGGUGAAAUGCGUAGAUAUAGGAAGGAACACCAGUGGCGAAGGCGACUACCUGGACUGAUACUGACACUGAGGUGCGAAAGCGUGGGGAGCAAACAGGAUUAGAUACCCCGGUAGUCC
Molecule: ribosomal RNA, 450 nt
Filed under: uncultured bacterium
Lineage: Bacteria
Description: partial 16S ribosomal RNA
Rfam family: Bacterial small subunit ribosomal RNA
Source: RNAcentral